Molecule: ribosomal RNA, 484 nt
Filed under: uncultured bacterium
Lineage: Bacteria
Description: partial 16S ribosomal RNA
Rfam family: Bacterial small subunit ribosomal RNA
Source: RNAcentral
AUUGAACGCUGGCGGCAGGCCUAACACAUGCAAGUCGAGCGGAUGAGUGGAGCUUGCUCCAUGAUUCAGCGGCGGACGGGUGAGUAAUGCCUAGGAAUCUGCCUGGUAGUGGGGGACAACGUUUCGAAAGGAACGCUAAUACCGCAUACGUCCUACGGGAGAAAGUGGGGGAUCUUCGGACCUCACGCUAUCAGAUGAGCCUAGGUCGGAUUAGCUAGUUGGUGAGGUAAAGGCUCACCAAGGCGACGAUCCGUAACUGGUCUGAGAGGAUGAUCAGUCACACUGGAACUGAGACACGGUCCAGACUCCUACGGGAGGCAGCAGUGGGGAAUAUUGGACAAUGGGCGAAAGCCUGAUCCAGCCAUGCCGCGUGUGUGAGGAAGGUCUUCGGAUUGUAAAGCACUUUAAGUUGGGAGGAAGGGCAGUAAGUUAAUACCUUGCUGUUUUGACGUUACCAACAGAAUAAGCACCGGCUAACUUCGUG